AUUGAACGCUGGCGGCAUGCCUUACACAUGCAAGUCGAACGGCAGCAUGGAGGAGCUUGCUCCUCUGAUGGCGAGUGGCGAACGGGUGAGUAAGCAUCGGAACGUACCGUGUAGUGGGGAUAACGUAGCGAAAGUUACGCUAAUACCGCAUACGCACUGAGGUGGAAAGCAGGGGAUCGCAAGACCUUGCGCUAUACGAGCGGCCGAUGUCAGAUUAGCUAGUUGGUAGGGUAAAGGCCUACCAAGGCGACGAUCUGUAGCGGGUCUGAGAGGAUGAUCCGCCACACUGGGACUGAGACACGGCCCAGACUCCUACGGGAGGCAGCAGUGGGGAAUUUUGGACAAUGGGGGAAACCCUGAUCCAGCCAUGCCGCGUGAGUGAAGAAGGCCUUCGGGUUGUAAAGCUCUUUCGGCUGGGAAGAAAUCGCACAGGCUAAUACUCUGUGUGGAUGACGGUACCAGCAUAAGAAGCACCGGCUAACUACGUG
This 488-nucleotide ribosomal RNA is filed under the name uncultured bacterium. RNAcentral's name for it is "bacterial SSU rRNA". It matches the Rfam family "Bacterial small subunit ribosomal RNA", at positions 30 to 507 of the family's 1533-position model. The record is from RNAcentral.